UCUCUUUCGUUCACCUCUCAACAAAGGAGCAGCUUUUCGCACCUUUCCUUCGUCUAAUUGUUUUUUCUUUGUGCAAAUAGAGUUCUUUCUUAGUUCCUUCCCUCCUUCUGAAACUGGGACGGAUGGAUUCUUCUUCGCCGACCCUAACAAACCUACUAAAGAAGGGAGACCCUUCCUCUUCUGCCAACAGGUAAACCGGAACCAGACUGAAUACCACUUGUCGACUUUGUCUUAGGUUAGGUCGAGUCUGCCUCUGACCUCUUCCUUCUUCCUUCUUUCAUUUUCGUACUUCUGACUGAAUGUGAAUGCCGUACUUAGAGUUAUCCCACUUGGGAGUCAACUAAGCUGCCUCAAAGGAGACAGAUGACUCUUUAUGUUAGCGAAAGGGAUCCAUUCUUCGCGCGGACAUGUGAGACAGCUACUACUUCUCAUUCCGAUUCCAUAUCCUCCCCAACUGAGGCUUCCUGUCCGGCUUGCUCUAACUCCGCACCGCGUAGUGGGCUCCUUCGCUCGCUGAGUGAGCACCGACCCUAAAUCCGGUCUGUCUGGCUUCCCCCCUCUGUCUCAACAGGGACAGAUUCCUAUCCUAUGAUAACCUUUCCAGCUCUUCCUACUAAAUCCGGUCUAGCUGCCGCAACGGAGAGAAUACGAGGUCUCAGUCCGUCUCUCAUUGCAAAGCUGCUGCCGACCCCUGUUGAAAACCCUUAAAAAGGAGAUUUCAGCCUCUUUCCGCAACUCUGAUUCAUGAAACUGGGGGAAAGAUUCUCCUUUGCCUUACCUUAACUGAAUAACUCAAGAAGGACCUACUAAGGGCUGGCCUUGCCUUUACGAGCUGCUUUACAGUCGUUCUACCCUCUGAUAGAAUGAGGAGAGAUUCAAGUCUGAGACUGCUGGUCGAGGAGCAAGGGUUCGCUUCCUUCCUCUUGGUCGAGACAAGGGGAUUUCCAAUUCUUUCUGAGUAAAUGCCUAGACCGGUCGAGCAGAAUAGAGCAGAGUCGAGCUCUUGUCCAAUCCGCAUGUCUGUCUUCAAAGAGGAUUCUAUAGGUCCGAGAAAACUGGGCUAUUGCCCAUGGGUCCAAUCAAUUUCGAUUUUCCCGCCUGAGGCCUAUCCAUUAGAGAAUUUGACUUGCGAUCGGAGUCUUAUGACUUGAAGUAGGUUCCGCGGAGUGGGAAAGAAAAGAAAGAGUACCCCCUAGUAAGAGGAAGCGAAGUAGCUGACCUACCUCACUCAAGACUGACCUCAGCCCUAAAGCCCUUGGCUUAUUGCAUAUUUGAGACUCUGAACUUAUAGUCCGGAGGCGGAAUGAAAUAUGCGAAGGCGCAAAGAAUUUGCGAGGCGUAGGAGAAACUUAAGGAUCAAAGAAGAUCCCUGCCUUUCUUUUCUUGCCUGUGAAAAGUCAAUAAAAGAAAAGAAGCUCAUUAACGAGAAUGAAAGAAGAAUUAUUCUUGAAUAACCUGGACUCAAAUCCAAGAAUCCCAGAAAAUGCUAGGGCGAGACUGGUCCGGAGGACUGAUUCAUAAGGCAGUCAUGAAAAAGAUGUAAAAAAACGACUAUUAUCGGUCCGAAGGUUAUGAAAUAACGAGAAAAAAAACAAAGAAAUUCAUGAAUUGAGAAUGAAACCUAUGAAUUUUUGUAAUCAACGACCUUGUAAUCCUUAGCGAAAAUUCAGAAAAAGCUAGGUUUUGGGUAUGGCUGGCAGCAACUUUUCAUUCAAAAUCUUGAAUUUUUUCUCUAUUAUCGUUAAAUAUCAAGAUGAGAAAAAGGACCAUUUUGCAAGAAAAAAGACGGGAAAACGCAAUGAAAGAAUCAAGCCUAUCAAAGAAAUGAACAGACUUUGAUGAGAGUUCUAGUUUCUGGUCCGGAUAAAGAGAGGAGAAAGAAAGUCAAAUGCCUGAUUUUGAACUCUAUUAUCGUAGAGUAGAUAGAGUCUCUAUUUAUGCUAUUUGAGUGGAAAAAGAAGAAAAAAUCCCGGGGUUUUGAAAAAAAGAAGAGACUUUUUCUAUCUCAUUUGCUUAAGACAUACAAGUAGGAGGUUCUUUGAAAGUCGUUAAGAGUCGACCCUCUGAUCUUUUCUUUCUAACUCACCUCUAUGCCUCCGUCCUCCCUCCUAUAUAUUAAGAGUGAUUUCUAGGACGAAUAUGAAUUCAGCCUCGUCUUCUCGGUCAAGCUGCUUUCGCUCCUUUCUCUCUCUUUCUCCAACCUUGCACAAGAUCGACUCAAAAUCAAAGAAUGAUCUCAGAAUGAUCGGCGAAAGGACUGAAUGAGAAUAUAAGAAGGUGCGAAGGAGCGAAAGCGGCUCGACUGAGGUUAGGAAGGUUCAGAGCGAAGGUUCAAUUUCAGGUUCUUUGAAAGUCGACUGAUAAGGAGUCAAUGAACAAGGGCCCUUUCCCUUUCUUUUUUGAAAUAACUCGACUCCAAAUGAUAAGGAGAGGCAAGAAAACAAAGGCAGGGAUCUUCUUUGAAUAAGGAAUUCUCUCCUUUUUAUGGAGUGCAAGGAAAGAAAUCCAUAUGAAAAAAUUAGGACAGGUCUCGUCAACUCCUUACGGAGCCUCUUCUGGGAUAAUAGUGAGAGUUCUGGUUCCCUUCUCGUACUGAUGAAAGAAGAGAGUGUACUCACCUCCUUCAAUGCAAGCAUUUCAUAAUCAAAUGGGAAUAUGAGUUCAUAGAUUCUCUUUAUAAUAGAGUGAAUUGAGUGAAUAGUAUCGAUUCAGAGAAGAUAUUUCUUUGCUACUGAAAGAGCCACUUCAACUGCUACUGCCACGGUGACUGAUUUUUCUUACCUAGCAUCGGACAGCUGGAGAGAUAUGUCAAUCCCAUCUAAGAGAGAAGGAAGGCGCCUUAGGCCAUGGGAAAGUCAGCGCUACGUGGGCCUCUUCCUUCUCUUCUGCUUCUUGAGGCUCCCUAGCUUCCCAACCGACCUAUGAGAGAGAGAUAGCUUGAGGCGCCUCGUCUCGAGUCAGUUAGUUCGGGCGAGAUGGAACUCUCUGAUCUUUUCUCAUAAAUGGAUAUAGUGAAUUAACUCAGAAUAUAAGCUUAUCAAGAACAAGAGAAAGGGGAGCUACUGAAGAAAGAGCUGCGACUGCUACUUCUGCAAGGGCAGCCACUGACUCCCUCUGUCCGGCCCCUUCUCUCCCUCCUCCUCCGUCUUUUCUUCUGAUCUUCCCUCUUCGCGCUUGAGCUUUCCUCAACCUUUGGUAGAGCGGCUGAGCACCUUUCCCAAUGGGGAUUAUCUCGUGAGGGAUUUCUUAGAAAAAGAUUCUGAAAGAUCGACUGAUGACUCCAACUCGGCUGCUAGUGCUAGGCGGUCCCUCUUCUCUCCUGACUUUGUCCGUCUUCCUUCGGUCAACUUACUUUCUGCCUUCGGGAUCCGGAACGAGUAAUUGAUUCAGAAAUCAUAUAUGUUCAAUCCCAAAUCAUUGAAUGAGGCCUUACGAAAGAGAUAUCAGUCAAUGCCCUACCACGGAUGAGGCAACUUCUUCAAGAAAAGAAAGAGCCUCAGCAGACACAAGAACUGAAAGCAACUUCAUUCCCCUAAAGAGGCUCAGGCUGAUCUUCUAGCUCCCGCAACAGCCCUCAGCCGGCGAGAUCUCAUUCCCUUUCUCUAGCCUAUGAUAGAUAGCCUUUCUAUCUUCUAUCUGACCUACUAGCUUCGACCCUUUCUUCUAUCUUCUAUCUGACCUUUCUUCCCCGAUCGAGAGAGACCUAUGACUAUGAUUAUGAGACAAUGAUGAUGAGAUAAUAGUACUUCCUUUCUGGAUCAUGAAACUGAGAAAGCUCAUCAGACCUCUCCGAUACAGUCAGUCAAGCCUAUAUCAUAAUCAUAUCUACCCGCUAUGGAGACUUCUCCCUCUUCCUAGCCCGCGCGAAAGAGAGAUGCCCCCGAGCCAACCUUCUUUCAGUUAUCCUCCUUCGCACCUGCCUCUCCGACCCGAUGCUUCCUUCUUUUUCAGCCAAAAGGUCAGUUUGAUCGCUCCGUAGGAGUCUUCCUUAACGUGGAAGUUUGCACGUGGAAUCCCGGUGGGGAAGAAAAAUCAUUCGAGAAGAUGGGACGGAUUAAGAGAAAGAAGCCGACGAAUGAGAAUGAAAGAGCUACGCAUUCUCAACAACUUCUUCAACGAGAGCUGAAAGAGAAAGUCAAUGAACAAGGGAAGCGCUACGUGGGCCUUCCCUAAUAUGCUUUCGGCGGCGUCCGUCCUAGUCUCAUUCUCUGACCUCGGACGAGGGUCAAUCCGGCUUCCUUUCGCAAAUUCUUUGCUCCUCUUCGCUUUCUCUCUUAUUGCUAGGGCGGCGUCCUACUCUAAGUUACUAAGUUACGUGAUAGAAGGAUCUGACGUCUAAUCCCUUUCUUUCUUUAAGAGUCAAAAUCAGUCUUUAAUUAAGAGAAGAUGGGACUUCGACCAUAGGCUUUCUUCUAAAUAGUAGGUUCCCACUCCCAACUUACGGUUAUGUAAUAGCUCGACCUUCGAUCAAUGAACAAAGGCUCAAAGAAAAGUUCAUAUGUCCUUAUCAAUGAGACUGAUCGAUGAAGAUCCAUAAAGAAAAGAGUUGGCUCAGAAUGAAAGGCAUCAACGAGUGUGAAAUCGUUACAGAAAGAUGGAUAGAAAAUAGAGAAAUCGGCGGCUCCAGAUCUCGCCCAUGGAUGAGUGCGAAAGGAAAGGACGAGGGAUAGACUCCAUCCUCCUGUCCCGCCAAGGCCUCUUGUUGAAUUACCGGUCCGUGGUAGUUUCAUUCGCAACCUCUCCUUCUCGUUACGUGAAAUGCCAGCUGGCUUGAGAACUACUCAUUCUCUGUCUUGCUUUGGCUACCCUAUUUCUUUAUUAAUCCUUGAUUUCGUUCUCGAUCUGCUUAUGACUCUCUGACUGCUGGGACCUCUGAUUCAAUGGGACAAGGGGCCUCCUUACUCCCAAUGAAAGAGGCAUCAAAAUAGAAGUUGCGCUUUCUUCGACGUAGGUUUAGUCUUCUCAUUCCGAUUUGACUGAGGCACAGCCACUCUCUUGGGAUUCUCUUUUUUAUGAGAUAUUCUAUAUCAGUCAAUGAACAAGGGCUUUCUUCUUUUGGUCAGACACCCAUAGGGCGGGCACUCAAGAGUGAGUUGUGGAGAACGAGACCACCCGGCUAGACCACGAGUUAGCGGCUUUGCCGAUGACCUGUAAUUGACAGAUUUUUUCCUUUACCGGUCCGUGGUAGUUUCAUUGUUUUAGUCCGAAAUUCAAAUCAUUCACCGGUAGAAGGUAGAAGAAAAGGGGAGGACAGACAACUAGAAAGCCCUUAACCUUCAGGGGGAAGAGGGUUCGUCUAGCUAAAGGAUGCAAGAUUUCUAAUCAACAAAGAAAGGGAAAGAUCAGCAGCGCCUUAGUGGAGGAAGAGGGCUAUAGGCCCAUAAUGAAUCACCUUCAGCUAGAACUAAUUAAUAAAAGAAAAAAGAAAGAGUCCAACAACUAGAAAGUUCAGUCAGGUUAAAUCAGUUAUAAGGAAGAAACUAGUCCGCUACUUUCAUCUUCUAUAUUCCCACUUAGCGGUCCAAAAACAAAGGUCCAGAUCUUAUGAAAUAAGGAGACUGAAAGGUGCGAAGCAGCUCGACUAAGAAGGAGUCAAUGAAGAAGGGCGUAGCUUAUGUAAAGGAAGGAGUGCAACUAAGGAUGAUUCCAUAUUAGGGGAUGGUUCGACUCGACGGGAUAAAGGCCGCUCGAUCAUGGUAAGGCCAAUCGCCUUUCUUUAAUUCACUUUAGGGUCUUGGAAAGGUAUGAAUAAAUAAGACCGAGACGCCUGGCCAAUAGGAUCUAUCCAGCACCCUAACCCAUUUUCUGUCUUCGACCCUGAAGCCAUGACAUGAAUUACUCCGGAAGGAAUGUGACGGAAAAGUGUUCUCAUACGAGUCCCAAACGGUCAAAUAAUCGAUAGGGGAGAAGGGAGCACAAACUCAGCCGCUACCGCUACACAGGUCUCUCUUCAUCCCUCUCUCUUUCGGAAGCGUAAUCCCUUUAUGUUGAAGAAGAAGGAAAUCUUCAGUCAUUCUAAGCGAGGAAUCAGUCACGGGUGCCUCUCUCGGCUUGACCCUUUACCUAGGAUAGAAUAUGCUGAGUGGGUAUCAACCGCUACGUGGGACCUAGAUCUCCAGUUUCAUAAGAAGAGAAAUCGGCGAACUGACAGAUCCAGGUUGACUACUAUCAUUUCAUUCCUCACAGACAGAGGGAUGUGCUCAGGAUUGAGACGGAGUCGAACGAAAGAAGAAGUCGACUCGAUCGAGAUCAAGGAGGGUCAGAAUUCCCCGUUGUUAAGCGAGAACCGAGUUCAGAAAAGAUUCCAUCAACCCGCGGGUAGGAUUUUAGGGGUUCACAUUGCAUUUCAUGAACAGUCCCAAUCUAUUGAUUUGAAUUUCUUGCUUCCACCUAUAGGUUCAAAGUGACUAAACAAGGGAUUCUUCUUCUUCUUCAGUCUUUUUUAGGUUCUUUAUUGGACUUUCUUCUUCCGCUCCGGUCCGAACCCCUCCGUGGGUGAUCUUGAAAGGUAGGCUUUCUUCUUCUUCUUCUUCCUCUACCUUUCCUCGUAAAGAGAGAAUGAAAGAAGAUAAGUGCUCUUGCUCUUGCUCUUUGGCCUCUUCGCACCUUUCCAGUCGCUUCGAUCAUUCUUUGAGCCUUUCUUUGAACUUCUUUGUUCUUCAAUCUGAUUUUCACCCUUCCCUUGUUCAUUCAGGCUCCUGAACAGUCGUUUCGGACUAAUUUCUUAAUAUGGAUUUCUCAAAAGGGUUCCGUAGGGUUGUCUUUGACUUGUUGUUUAUUUCGUUGUGGAUCGGACGCUCCCAAUAGGGAAUGGGGAAUGGGGAAUGCUACCCAGCACCUACUUUGAAAAUAUAAGAAAAUCAGGAGAAAGCCAAAGCCGGACAACUGACUGACGAACUUGUUAGGAAAGACAAAGCCGGUAGCCCAGGUAGCCCAGAGCAGCUACCGACAACUAGGGAGAGAGGGACCAGAAAGCUUAGAAAAGAGGUUGCUUUUUCCCUAGUCUCUUUCCUACCUUCUUAUCCGCGGCAUGAGGUUGUGGUAUUUCGGAGAGCGCUUCGGGGUUCUCUAGGAGCCUUGUUGAUUGCGGCUCACCGCGUAGUGGGGGCUCUUUCUAGGUUGUACGAAGUUGUACGAACUAUUUCUAUCUUUUUUUCGGUAUAUUAAGGGGGCCGUGCCCCUUUCAGAAUAAGGAAUCUUAGUAAAUGUGUGUUCAUGUUCAUGAAAGGAAUCUGAGGCUCAAAGAAUUUGAGUGACUCUUUCCCAAGCCGAAAGGGAGGAAAGAGCUAAAGUCACACCGCUACGUGGGUUAACAACAAGAGGUUGCGAAAGCAGCUCAAGCUCCUAAAGCGAGAGGUGAAAAACUAUAGACUUAGAAGGAGAGGUUCAAAGGAUAUUGACGACUGAAAAAGAAAA
This is a long non-coding RNA of Cucumis melo (muskmelon), 7416 nucleotides long. RefSeq lists it as uncharacterized. The record is from RefSeq and is a predicted model, not a curated record. The transcript has 2 exons. NCBI's taxonomy places the organism in Eukaryota, Viridiplantae, Streptophyta, Magnoliopsida, Cucurbitales, Cucurbitaceae.